AGCUUUGCGCAGCGGCAAUAUUGUAGCCUAUGAGGUUUAGCCGAAGUGCAAUUAUUGCUAAUUAAAAACUUUUCCCUAUAUCUCACAUCCACUGAUUUGAAAUACAAUCGGUGAAAGCAAAUUUUGACAGUCCAGUGAGAC
Small nuclear RNA from Lepisosteus oculatus (spotted gar), 141 nucleotides. Its record names the gene U4. It matches the Rfam family "U4 spliceosomal RNA". Rfam says of the family: U4 small nuclear RNA (U4 snRNA) is a component of the major U2-dependent spliceosome. The structure of U4 snRNA from yeast and human has been reported. Lineage: Eukaryota; Metazoa; Chordata; Actinopteri; Semionotiformes; Lepisosteidae. The record is from Ensembl.